GGCCUCUCUGAGAAAACAAGCAAAUAAGUUAAAACUUUCAACAACGGAUCUCUUGGUUCUGGCAUCGAUGAAGAACGCAGCGAAAUGCGAUAAGUAAUGUGAAUUGCAGAAUUCAGUGAAUCAUCGAAUCUUUGAACGCACAUUGCGCCCGCCAGUACUCUGGCGGGCAUGCCUGUUCGAGCGUCAUUUCAACCCUCAAGCCCUGCUUGGUGUUGGGGUCCUACGGCUGCCGUAGGCCCUGAAAGCUAGUGGCGGGCUCGCUAUAACUCCGAGCGUAGUAGUAAAAUAUCUCGCUAGGGAGGUGUCGCGGGUUCCGGCCGUGAAAGCCCAUCUUUUACACAAGGUUGACCUCGGAUCAGGUAGGAAUACCCGCUGAACUUAAGCAUAUCAAUAAGCGGAGGAAAAGAAACCAACAGGGAUUGCCCCAGUAACGGCGAGUGAAGCGGCAACAGCUCAAAUUUGAAAUCUGGCUUCGGCCCGAGUUGUAAUUUGUAGAGGAUGCUUUUGGUGAGGUGCCUUCUGAGUUCCCUGGAACGGGACGCCAGAGAGGGUGAGAGCCCCGUAUAGUUGGACACCGAGCCUCUGUAAAGCUCCUUCGACGAGUCGAGUAGUUUGGGAAUGCUGCUCAAAAUGGGAGGUAUAUYUCUUCUAAAGCUAAAUACUGGCCAGAGACCGAUAGCGCACAAGUAGAGUGAUCGAAAGAUGAAAAGCACUUUGAAAAGAGGGUUAAAUAGUACGUGAAAUUGUUGAAAGGGAAGCGCUUGUGACCAGACUUGUGCCCGGCUGAUCAUCCAGUGUUCUCACUGGUGCACUCUGCCGGGCUCAGGCCAGCGUCGGUUCUCGCAGGGGGACAAAAGCUUCGGGAA
This 866-nucleotide ribosomal RNA is filed under the name Sordariomycetes sp. genotype 76. RNAcentral describes it as "eukaryotic LSU rRNA". The stretch from base 346 to 866 matches the Rfam family "Eukaryotic large subunit ribosomal RNA", at positions 1 to 534 of the family's 3401-position model. The record is from RNAcentral. Lineage: Eukaryota; Fungi; Ascomycota; Sordariomycetes.